Molecule: ribosomal RNA, 433 nt
Filed under: uncultured bacterium
Lineage: Bacteria
Description: bacterial SSU rRNA
Rfam family: Bacterial small subunit ribosomal RNA
Source: RNAcentral
AAUGAACGCUGGCGGCAGGCCUAACACAUGCAAGUCGAGCGAGGACUUCGGUCCUAGCGGCGGACGGGUGAGUAACGCGUGGGAAUAUGCCCUUUGGUACGGAAUAGCCUCGGGAAACUGGGAGUAAUACCGUACGUGCCCUUCGGGGGAAAGAUUUAUCGCCAAAGGAUUAGCCCGCGUUGGAUUAGGUAGUUGGUGGGGUAAUGGCCUACCAAGCCGACGAUCCAUAGCUGGUUUGAGAGGAUGAUCAGCCACACUGGGACUGAGACACGGCCCAGACUCCUACGGGAGGCAGCAGUGGGGAAUCUUAGACAAUGGGCGCAAGCCUGAUCUAGCCAUGCCGCGUGAGUGAAGAAGGCCUUAGGGUCGUAAAAGCUCUUUCAGUGGGGAAGAUAAUGACGGUACCACAGAAGAAACCCCGGCUAACUCCGUG